RNAcentral lists this non-coding RNA (55 nucleotides) under Pteridomonas danica. Lineage: Eukaryota; Dictyochophyceae; Pedinellales. The record is from RNAcentral.
UUUGCAUAUGGACUUCUAAGAGAUAAAUUACCUCAUUAAAACCCACUGAGUGUAC